This 469-nucleotide ribosomal RNA is filed under the name uncultured bacterium. RNAcentral describes it as "bacterial SSU rRNA". It matches the Rfam family "Bacterial small subunit ribosomal RNA", at positions 32 to 490 of the family's 1533-position model. The record is from RNAcentral.
AAUCAACGCUGGCGGCGUGCCUCAGACAUGCAAGUCGAACGCGAAAUUUCCCUUCGGGGAGAAAGUAGAGUGGCGCACGGGUGAGUAACACGUAGGUAAUCUACCUUUGGGUGGGGAAUAACAGCCGGAAACGGCUGCUAAUACCGCAUAAUGCAGCGGCUCGACAUCGAGACAGUUGUUAAAGCGGGGGAUUCCGAAAGGAACCUCGCGCCUAAAGAGGAGCCUGCGGCAGAUAGCUAGUUGGUAGGGUAACGGCCUACCAAGGCGACGAUCUGUAACCGGCCUGAGAGGGCGGUCGGUCACACUGACACUGACAUACGGGUCAGACUCCUACGGGAGGCAGCAGUCGGGAAUUUUGGGCAAUGGGCGAAAGCCUGACCAGCAACGCCGCGUGAAGGAUGAAAUCCCUCGGGAUGUAAACUUCGCAAGAAUGGGAAGAAUAAGUAGAAGAUAAUACCUUACUAUUGAU